Molecule: ribosomal RNA, 626 nt
Filed under: Staphylococcus aureus
Lineage: Bacteria; Bacillati; Bacillota; Bacilli; Caryophanales; Staphylococcaceae
Description: partial 23S ribosomal RNA
Rfam family: Bacterial large subunit ribosomal RNA
Source: RNAcentral
GUCUUCGAGUCGUUGAUUUCACACUGCCGAGAAAAGCCUCUAGAUAGAAAAUAGGUGCCCGUACCGCAAACCGACACAGGUAGUCAAGAUGAGAAUUCUAAGGUGAGCGAGCGAACUCUCGUUAAGGAACUCGGCAAAAUGACCCCGUAACUUCGGGAGAAGGGGUGCUCUUUAGGGUUAACGCCCAGAAGAGCCGCAGUGAAUAGGCCCAAGCGACUGUUUAUCAAAAACACAGGUCUCUGCUAAACCGUAAGGUGAUGUAUAGGGGCUGACGCCUGCCCGGUGCUGGAAGGUUAAGAGGAGUGGUUAGCUUCUGCGAAGCUACGAAUCGAAGCCCCAGUAAACGGCGGCCGUAACUAUAACGGUCCUAAGGUAGCGAAAUUCCUUGUCGGGUAAGUUCCGACCCGCACGAAAGGCGUAACGAUUUGGGCACUGUCUCAACGAGAGACUCGGUGAAAUCAUAGUACCUGUGAAGAUGCAGGUUACCCGCGACAGGACGGAAAGACCCCGUGGAGCUUUACUGUAGCCUGAUAUUGAAAUUCGGCACAGCUUGUACAGGAUAGGUAGGAGCCUUUGAAACGUGAGCGCUAGCUUACGUGGAGGCGCUGGUGGGAUACUACCCUAGC